This 1056-nucleotide ribosomal RNA is filed under the name uncultured Cryobacterium sp. RNAcentral's name for it is "bacterial SSU rRNA". It matches the Rfam family "Bacterial small subunit ribosomal RNA", at positions 337 to 1393 of the family's 1533-position model. Lineage: Bacteria; Bacillati; Actinomycetota; Actinomycetes; Micrococcales; Microbacteriaceae. The record is from RNAcentral.
UCCUACGGGAGGCAGCAGUGGGGAAUAUUGCACAAUGGGCGCAAGCCUGAUGCAGCAACGCCGCUGAGGGACGAAGGCCUUCGGGUUGUAAACCUCUUUUAGUAGGGAAGAAGCGACUGGGUUUUCCUGGGAGUGACGGUACCUGCAGAAAAAGCACCGGCUAACUACGUGCCAGCAGCCGCGGUAAUACGUAGGGUGCAGCGUUGUCCGGAAUUAUUGGGCGUAAAGAGCUCGUAGGCGGUUUGUCGCGUCUGCUGUGAAAACCCGAGGCUCAACCUCGGGCCUGCAGUGGGUACGGGCAGACUAGAGUGCGGUAGGGGAGAUUGGAAUUCCUGGUGUAGCGGUGGAAUGCGCAGAUAUCAGGAGGAACACCAAUGGCGAAGGCAGAUCUCUGGGCCGUAACUGACGCUGAGGAGCGAAAGCAUGGGGAGCGAACAGGAUUAGAUACCCUGGUAGUCCAUGCCGUAAACGUUGGGAACUAGAUGUGGGGACCAUUCCACGGUCUCCGUGUCGCAGCUAACGCAUUAAGUUCCCCGCCUGGGGAGUACGGCCGCAAGGCUAAAACUCAAAGGAAUUGACGGGGGCCCGCACAAGCGGCGGAGCAUGCGGAUUAAUUCGAUGCAACGCGAAGAACCUUACCAAGGCUUGACAUAUACCGGAAACGGCUGGAAACAGUCGCCCCGCAAGGUCGGUAUACAGGUGGUGCAUGGUUGUCGUCAGCUCGUGUCGUGAGAUGUUGGGUUAAGUCCCGCAACGAGCGCAACCCUCGUCCUAUGUUGCCAGCACGUAAUGGUGGGAACUCAUGGGAUACUGCCGGGGUCAACUCGGAGGAAGGUGGGGAUGACGUCAAAUCAUCAUGCCCCUUAUGUCUUGGGCUUCACGCAUGCUACAAUGGCCGGUACAAAGGGCUGCGAUACCGCAAGGUGGAGCGAAUCCCAAAAAGCCGGUCUCAGUUCGGAUUGAGGUCUGCAACUCGACCUCAUGAAGUCGGAGUCGCUAGUAAUCGCAGAUCAGCAACGCUGCGGUGAAUACGUUCCCGGGCCUUGUACACACCGC